This 253-nucleotide ribosomal RNA is filed under the name uncultured bacterium. Its description in RNAcentral is "partial 16S ribosomal RNA". It matches the Rfam family "Bacterial small subunit ribosomal RNA", at positions 524 to 776 of the family's 1533-position model. The record is from RNAcentral.
UACGUAGGGUGCAAGCGUUGUCCGGAAUUAUUGGGCGUAAAGAGCUCGUAGGCGGUUUGUCGCGUCUGCUGUGAAAACUCGGGGCUUAACUCCGGGCCUGCAGUGGGUACGGGCAGACUAGAGUGCGGUAGGGGAGACUGGAAUUCCUGGUGUAGCGGUGAAAUGCGCAGAUAUCAGGAGGAACACCGGUGGCGAAGGCGGGUCUCUGGGCCGUAACUGACGCUGAGGAGCGAAAGCGUGGGGAGCGAACAAG